ACGAACGCUGGCGGCGUGCCUAAUACCUGCAAGUUGAGCGCUGAAGGUUGGUACUUGUACCGACUGGAUGAGCAGCGAACGGGUGAGUAACGCGUGGGGAAUCUGCCUUUGAGCGGGGGACAACAUUUGGAAACGAAUGCUAAUACCGCAUAAAAACUUUAAACACAAGUUUUAAGUUUGAAAGAUGCAAUUGCAUCACUCAAAGAUGAUCCCGCGUUGUAUUAGCUAGUUGGUGAGGUAAAGGCUCACCAAGGCGAUGAUACAUAGCCGACCUGAGAGGGUGAUCGGCCACAUUGGGACUGAGACACGGCCCAAACUCCUACGGGAGGCAGCAGUAGGGAAUCUUCGGCAAUAGACGAAAGUCUGACCGAGCAACGCCGCGGGAGUGAAGAAGGUUUUCGGAUCGUAAAACUCUGUUGGUAGAGAAGAACGUUGGUGAGAGUGGAAAGCUCAUCAAGUGACGGUAACUACCCAGAAAGGGACGGCUAACUACGUG
RNAcentral lists this ribosomal RNA (496 nucleotides) under uncultured bacterium. RNAcentral's name for it is "partial 16S ribosomal RNA". It matches the Rfam family "Bacterial small subunit ribosomal RNA", at positions 29 to 507 of the family's 1533-position model. The record is from RNAcentral.